AAAAGUGUAAUAAAUUGUGAGCAUGUGUUCCAAGCAUACUAAGUGUAAUAAUUUGUGGAACUGAUUCCUCCUCUACGAGGAGGUUGAAGCCGAAUUUUUUAGCCAUUAUCUAAAAAAUGUAGGGGGCAAAGUGUACAUGCCAAGACUACAACAUGAUGAGCUGUGGUUAGCAACCAAGCUGGGACCGCCAAAUUCAUGCCAAGGAGAGAUAAGAGUGUAGAAAGUGAUCAAGCUUGGGAUGGCAACAAGGGAUUAUUAGUAGGCAACGGCAUAUGACAUUGUUAGCGAGAAUUUAACAAUACCAGUAGAGUCACAUAUGGUGAG
This 324-nucleotide long non-coding RNA is filed under the name Setaria viridis. Its description in RNAcentral is "long non-coding RNA (SVIR_LNC000044)". Lineage: Eukaryota; Viridiplantae; Streptophyta; Magnoliopsida; Poales; Poaceae. The record is from RNAcentral.